This 742-nucleotide ribosomal RNA is filed under the name uncultured bacterium. Its description in RNAcentral is "bacterial SSU rRNA". It matches the Rfam family "Bacterial small subunit ribosomal RNA", at positions 8 to 796 of the family's 1533-position model. The record is from RNAcentral.
AGAGUUUGAUCCUGGCUCAGAACGAACGCUGGCGGCAGGCCUAACACAUGCAAGUCGAGCGGCACCUUCGGGUGUAGCGGCGGACGGGUUAGUAACGCGUGGGAACGUACCCUUCUCUACGGAAUAGCCUCGGGAAACUGAGAGUAAUACCGUAUACGCCCUUUGGGGGAAAGAUUUAUCGGGGAAGGAUCGGCCCGCGUCUGAUUAGAUAGUUGGUGGGGUAAUGGCCUACCAAGUCUACGAUCAGUAGCUGGUUUUAGAGGAUGAUCAGCAACACUGGGACUGAGACACGGCCCAGACUCCUACGGGAGGCAGCAGUGGGGAAUCUUAGACAAUGGGCGCAAGCCUGAUCUAGCCAUGCCGCGUGAGUGAAGAAGGCCUUAGGGUCGUAAAGCUCUUUCGCCAGAGAUGAUAAUGACAGUAUCUGGUAAAGAAACCCCGGCUAACUCCGUGCCAGCAGCCGCGGUAAUACGGAGGGGGUUAGCGUUGUUCGGAAUUACUGGGCGUAAAGCGCACGUAGGCGGAUCAGAAAGUUGGGGGUGAAAUCCCAGGGCUCAACCCUGGAACGGCCUCCAAAACUCCUGGUCUUGAGUUCGAGAGAGGUGAGUGGAAUUCCGAGUGUAGAGGUGAAAUUCGUAGAUAUUCGGAGGAACACCAGUGGCGAAGGCGGCUCACUGGCUCGAUACUGACGCUGAGGUGCGAAAGUGUGGGGAGCAAACAGGAUUAGAUACCCUGGUAGUCC